CUUCGGGAAUUUGAGACAGGUGCUGCCAUGGCUGUCGUCAGCUCGUGUUGUGAAAUGUUGGGUUAAGUCCCGCAACGAGCGCAACCCUUAUCCUUUGUUGCCAGCGGUCCGGCCGGGAACUCAAAGGAGACUGCCAGUGAUAAACUGGAGGAAGGUGGGGAUGACGUCAAGUCAUCAUGGCCCUUACGAGUAGGGCUACACACGUGCUACAAUGGCAUAUACAAAGAGAAGCGACCUCGCGAGAGCAAGCGGACCUCAUAAAGUAUGUCGUAGUCCGGAUUGGAGUCUGCAACUCGACUCCAUGAAGUCGGAAUCGCUAGUAAUCGUAGAUCAGAAUGCUACCGGUGAAUACGUUCCCGGGCCUUGUACACACCGCCCGUCACACCAUGGGAGUGGGUUGCAAAAGAAGUAGGUAGCUUAACCUUCGGGAGGGCGCUUACCACUUUGUGAUUCAUGA
Molecule: ribosomal RNA, 457 nt
Filed under: Klebsiella sp. HPC146
Lineage: Bacteria; Pseudomonadati; Pseudomonadota; Gammaproteobacteria; Enterobacterales; Enterobacteriaceae
Description: bacterial SSU rRNA
Rfam family: Bacterial small subunit ribosomal RNA
Source: RNAcentral